GAGGACGUGAACCUCGCACCGAACACACACGAGCCGUGUUAUUACGUCCUGCUCACGCGCUGACAGUCGUGUCAGGAUUAACCCCGCGAGCUAACUGACAGCUCAGCUCGCUCGGCUGGUUCGCCAACGGGUGAAGUCCUGGAAACACCCGGGUUUCUGACUGUAAAGCUCGGUCCGUGAAGAAGGUCAGCGUCCCUGAAAGUCAGCCGUAGAAGCGCCGCAUUGACACCGACCGCUGUACUGCGCGUGUUUGUUUAUCACCGCAGUCCCCGGUCGUUGGCUCCGCCCACCGGAGUCAAGCUUUUAUAGACAGCUUCCGGGUGGGGUGAGGAAGUGACCUCCAGAGUAAAAGCUUAUGGUGAACUCACUUUCAUGUAUGUAUCUGUCUUCUUUCCUUCAUUACACACAACCAGAGAGAAAUGCAGAUCACAUGGAAUAAAUCUAAUGUACAUACACAUUUUACAAACAAUAUUUUAAGUAUACAUUGUAAUCAUUACAUUAUAAUCAUACCUAAAUCCUUAUGAAAUAUAUCUAGAAGUAUUUGAAUAAAAUCUUUAACUUUAGCUUGUGAAUUUCCACUGAGAUAAAUGCAGGUAUAUCUUAACAUUAUAAAAUUAUGUAUUUGUUGAAGUAUUUUAGAGUAAAGAGUUGCCUCCAAAUUAAUGCAUCAGUAUAAUAUACCAAUAAUCUAAGAAAUAAAGUAUUUAUUGUGAGGAAUAGUCCUUUUUAAUUUAUUUUAAAGUAACUUCCGGUCUGUGUUUCUCUGUCCAACUUCACACGGGGCUGCUGCUGCGGUGAAGACGGCCUCUCUCUCUUUGGUCUAAUCAAUGCUCGCUCGACCAUCGGCCUCUUUUCAUGCUGCAGUUGAAACAACUACCAGUAAAUAAUCAAACUUUGACCCGUUGAAUGGUCUAAUAGUGUCAGUGUACCGUGUUGCGUUGAAUGUCAAUACUGUAAAACAGUUUUAUUAAAUAAACUUUUUUCAUCUGCGUAAAAUCUUUAUUAUUAAACUUUCAGAUUUCCCCCGAAAUAUUGAUUAACGGUAAAAUACCAUUUAUAUAGUGUACAUUAAAUAAAAUGAAAUUAAUUACAGUUGCUAAAAUAUUUAAAAGUGGAUCAAUUAGUUUGACUUUGUAACUCACAAAUUGAAUCUUUGUUUAAUAAAAAGUGUCAAAUUUGCUGAUAAAGCUAUCAACAAAACCAUCACUUAAUUAUACUUUUAUAAAUAAAGAUAAUAUAUAUAUAUUUUUUAGUCAUACUUUUCAGAUUUUCUUUCCUGCCCCUUAAUUUACAAAAUAUUGCCCCUAAAAUUGAAGAAGUCAGUCAGUUUUGUUUUUUUGGUGGUAAACAGCAAUUAUUUAUUGAAAUUAAAUAAAAAAAGAAUAAGUACCAGAUCUAUUGCAUUAUUGUAACAUGUUGUUUCUGUAAGGGGGGGGGAGGGUACUCUACUGUUUGUUUACUCUGGUAGGAUGCCGUGAACACAAAUAUACAGGAACAUUCAGCUAUCACAGAUACUGUAGUAAUGCAGUCGAAUACAAGACCACCAAAAUAAAAUGCAACAUUUUAUCUUUUUUUCUUCUUCUUCAUUUUGUCUUUAAAAUGUUUUUUUCUUCUUCUUCUUCCAUAAAGAGUAGAAAAGUCCUCCCAGAGUCGGGGGACACGACCUCCGGCUCACAACUCAGACAACGAACCUCCCGAACAAAAAAAACAAAAAUAAUAAUAAUAAUGCUGAGAACAUGAACAAUGCACCGACACAGAAAGUCAGCUGUGUUAAUAGACAUGCAACAAGUCACCAAACUUGCUGAAAUCGCAAUAAUAAAAUCAUUAAAAAAAUAAUAAUCUAGAACUAGUUAUAAUAAUUGCAUAAAUACUUUGUACAGUUUCGUGACACGCAACUUUCUGUUAAAAAGGACGAGACGUGAAGCGCUGCCCCUCUUGCCUCUGUACACGUGGAGGUGAAGAACGACUCUUGAUUGACAGAAGCCUGAACGGCUCGAUGUCAAGCAAAGACUCCGGGACACGGAGAAUGAUUAGAAUUACAUCAUUAUUAUUAUUAAUAUUAUAACGACGUCAGCUGAGGUGUUUAAGUGUCUUCUGUUCUUUUACGUUUUGUGGACUCUGGAGACGAGUGGGAGAAUAAAAGAAACAAGUUCUCUCUGGGAGGGGGGGGGGGGAGAGAAAGAGAGAGGGAAAGUGAGAAAGAAACAAGAAACAAGAAAAGAGAGAAAGAAAGAUACAAGAAAGAGAGAUAUAGAAAGAAACCAGAAAGAAGGAGAGAAAGAAAAAGGGAGAAAGAGAAAGAAACGAGAGAAAGACACAAGAAAGAGAGAGAAAUAAAGGGAGAAAGAAAGAAAGAGAGAAGGAAAGCGAGAGAGAAAGAAGCACUUGAAUGUGCCAUUGCAGAACCUCCAGCAAAAGAAAACAGACUUACAUUAAAACUCUUAUUGUGAAACAUCACAUUUAAAUAUAUAUAUAUAUAUACAUAUAACAUGGAGGUCAACCGGAAGUUGUUGUUUUUUAGAUCUUUCUGCAUAUUUCAUAUUUAAAUCUCCGCCGUACAUUUGAACAACAAGCUCAUGUUUGUUCAUCUCUGUGUGUCUGAGUGUCGGAUUGCCCCACGCUAUCAACGUGUCAUCAAACUACACACAGCUUCAGCCAAUCAAACUCCUGAUGACUUCCAGAACCCAGUGACUUUAUUAAAGUUGCUUGAGUCUAAAACGUCUUCAUUGCUUCCUCUGCGUCAGGAUUUUGGAAAUUAAUCGAAAUCAUAAUUUCAUAAAGCGUGAAAGAAUAAUUAACAUCUUCUAGAGGAGGAAAACAACAACAAGGACAACAAACAGUAAACAAAGAGUCCCUUUUAGAGUGCGUUGAAAACUAAAUGUGCAGCGACUUUAAGAAACUAAUAUAUAUAUAUAUUUUUUACAUGAUGUUUUUCUCUCAAAAUGCAUCUUAAUGAUAUGGUUUAAAAACAUUAGAAUAAAAUCUAGAAUGACGACGACGUGAAGCAGCGACAACAACAACAAGGGAAAUAAUAUAAACGGACAGAACCGAUGAUUCUUUAAAGAAAGUCAUGAUAAUAAAACAUAUAAAUCUCUCUGUGACGGCAAAGAAAAUAACAAAAGAUAACAAAAAUAAGUCAUUUUGCAUUAACUAGACACACACACACACAGUCACACACACACACUCUCAUACACAUACACACUUUAGUUCUUAAAGCCGGUUAGUCGCUAUGUUACAGGCUAUUUAGUUUUUUCUCUAUCUCACGACCUCAUUUCUUUUUUGUUGUUUGUUUGUUCUGCGUUUUUGUUCCUGGUGAAAUUAAAAAGGCCGUGGUAAAUAUUUACAAUAUUAACAAGUUUUGUUAUGUGUGGCGGUGAAAGGAGGAGGCAGAG
This is a long non-coding RNA of Pseudoliparis swirei, 3392 nucleotides long. RefSeq lists it as uncharacterized. The record is from RefSeq and is a predicted model, not a curated record. The transcript is spliced from 2 exons. NCBI's taxonomy places the organism in Eukaryota, Metazoa, Chordata, Actinopteri, Perciformes, Liparidae.